RNAcentral lists this microRNA precursor (87 nucleotides) under Chlorocebus sabaeus (green monkey). RNAcentral describes it as "miRNA (ENSCSAG00000022462.1)". Lineage: Eukaryota; Metazoa; Chordata; Mammalia; Primates; Cercopithecidae. The record is from RNAcentral.
UUUGGGAGGCUGAGGCGGGAGGAUCACUUGAGCCCAGGAGUUCAAGACCAGCCUGGGCAACAAAGUGAGACCUCGUCUCUACAAAAA